AGUCUGUGUGGUCAUUGAAAAGCUGCAUGAUAUCUUUGAGAAACAACCAACAGAAUAUAUUGUGAAGUACAUGGUAAGUACUGCUGCCUAGGUACAUAAUGUGCUAAGUGUUGUUUGCUGCUGCUGGAGAUGAGUUGAUAACUGUGAUCCUAACUGCAACCUGAAAAUAUGUUGAUGUCAGUUCUGCAUGCUGUGUCCAGCCAUCAUGAUGGACUCUAUUGCUCCUAUUGCUGAUGGAGACCCUGGUGCUGUCUGAUCUCUGUUACUUCUUGAGAACCUGCUGAAUUCCAAGAGAAGAAGAGUUUGCCCAUGGACCUGUCCUCUAAAACUGCAUCCGUGUCACUGAUACAUCCUGGAAGUAAACACCAUAGUGUAUCCAAGAUCACUGUUGCCUUGGGCCCACCAGCAACCAUCAUGGUGACCAUUAUACCUACAGAGGUCCUACCUGCACAGGAAAAUACCUGCCAACUGUAACUAUUUUGAUGUUGAGGAUCCAUCCUGCAACUAGAGAAGAGGUUUCUGUCCAAUUUUGACUUUUCAGUGAAACUAUGAUGACAAUGAUAACUUCAUGGCACUGCUGAGAAUGGCAGAAGAACUGAGACUUGAGGGCAUACAGGCUUGACCAACCCACAGCCAAGAGCGGUGAGAGGGAGAACUCUGGUGGCUCACCGUGAGCUUCCUUCAGGACCUUAACACCUGAGUGAAGUGAGCAGCUUUGUGAACACUUGCAACUUCCUACAAGAACCUAGAAGAAUAUAUUGCCAGCUGAGCCUGCUUUACAAUAUUAUCCAGCUGAAACAAAGAAUGGGUUUGGUGGGCUUCCCCAAUAUAAACAGAGUGCUGAAUUUUAAAUUUGUGCCUUCAUCAAAGA
Molecule: long non-coding RNA, 871 nt
Organism: Grammomys surdaster
Lineage: Eukaryota; Metazoa; Chordata; Mammalia; Rodentia; Muridae
Exons: 5
Source: RefSeq, a predicted model, not a curated record